Molecule: ribosomal RNA, 397 nt
Filed under: uncultured bacterium
Lineage: Bacteria
Description: partial 16S ribosomal RNA
Rfam family: Bacterial small subunit ribosomal RNA
Source: RNAcentral
AUACGUAGGGGGCGAGCGUUGUCCGGAAUGAUUGGGCGUAAAGGGCGCGUAGGCGGCCCGGUAAGUCUGGAGUGAAAGUCCUGUUUUUAAGAUGGGAAUUGCUUUGGAUACUGUCGGGCUUGAGUGCAGGAGAGGUAAGUGGAAUUCUUAGUGUAGCGGUGGAAUGCGUAGAGAUUGGGAGGAACACCAGUGGCGAAGGCGACUUACUGGACUGUAACUGACGCUGAGGCGCGAAAGUGUGGGGAGCAAACAGGAUUAGAUACCCUGGUAGUCCACACUGUAAACGAUGAAUGCUAGGUGUAGGGGGUAUCGACCCCUUCUGUGCCGCAGUCAACACAAUAAGCAUUCCGCCUGGGGAGUACGGCCGCAAGGUUGAAACUCAAAGGAAUUGACGGGG